RNAcentral lists this ribosomal RNA (416 nucleotides) under Labyrinthus quadridentatus. RNAcentral describes it as "partial 28S ribosomal RNA". The record is from RNAcentral. Lineage: Eukaryota; Metazoa; Mollusca; Gastropoda; Stylommatophora; Camaenidae.
AAACCGCCCAGAGGUAAACGGGUGGAUCCGCAAAGUCGGCCCGCGGAAUUCAGCGCGGCGAGCAGACCUGGGCUGCGGUGGCUCGGGAUCCCUGGGACCCAGCCGCGGCGUCGCUCGGGUCUCCGCCGCGUGCACUUUCCGCGGGCAGAGCGCCACAACCGGUUCGGCGGCGGCUACAAGCUCGGAGGGUCGUAGGUGGGGGCGCUUGCGUCCCUACCAGCCUUCUGGUGCGAGCCGCUGGCGGACCGAGGGAAAGCCGGGCGCUUCGAGGCCACCCUCCCCUCCGGGUGAGAUCGACUGGGAGAGACUGGGCAACCGUGUCUCCCGACUGCUCAUCUGUGAUCGGCGCGGGGCUGGUCGGGCGCCCUUCAAGGUUGGUGGCAAGUCUGUCGGCACUCCACCCGACCCGUCUUGAA